RNAcentral lists this unclassified non-coding RNA (362 nucleotides) under uncultured bacterium. RNAcentral describes it as "contains 16S-23S intergenic spacer region". The record is from RNAcentral.
UCCCCGUUACCGGGGCAGUCUAGCUAGAAAAAUUCAACUAACUAUAAGGGUUGCGCUCGUUGAUGGACUUAACCAAACAUCUCACGACACGAGCUGACGACGGCCAUGCAUCACCUGUCACUGCGGCCCGAAGGCACUCUCUCCUUUCGGAGAAAUUAGCAGGAUGUCAAGCCCUGGUAAGGUUCUUCGCUUUGUAUCGAAUUAAAGAACACGCUCCACCGCUUGUGCGGGUCCCCGUCAAUUCCUUUAUGUUUUAGUCUUGCGACCGUACUCCACAGGCGGGAUGCUUAACGCGUUAGCUUCGCUACUAGGAGGGUCGAUACUCCUAACAGCUAGCAUCCAUCGUUUAGGGCGUGGACUAC